ACUCAAAGGAAUUGACGGGGACCCGCACAAGCGGUGGAUGAUGUGGAUUAAUUCGAUGCAACGCGAAAAACCUUACCUACCCUUGACAUGGCUGGAAUCCCCGAGAGAUUGAGGAGUGCUCGAAAGAGAACCAGUACACAGGUGCUGCAUGGCUGUCGUCAGCUCGUGUCGUGAGAUGUUGGGUUAAGUCCCGCAACGAGCGCAACCCUUGU
RNAcentral lists this ribosomal RNA (212 nucleotides) under Janthinobacterium sp. NKUCC08_JDC. RNAcentral describes it as "partial 16S ribosomal RNA". It matches the Rfam family "Bacterial small subunit ribosomal RNA", at positions 899 to 1108 of the family's 1533-position model. The record is from RNAcentral. Lineage: Bacteria; Pseudomonadati; Pseudomonadota; Betaproteobacteria; Burkholderiales; Oxalobacteraceae.